CAGGCUUAACACAUGCAAGUCGAGGGGCAGCAUAAUGGAUAGCAAUAUCUAUGGUGGCGACCGGCGCACGGGUGCGUAACGCGUAUGCAACCUACCUUUAACAGGGGGAUAACACUGAGAAAUUGGUACUAAUACCCCAUAAUAUCAUAGAAGGCAUCUUUUAUGGUUGAAAAUUCCGAUGGUUAGAGAUGGGCAUGCGUUGUAUUAGCUAGUUGGUGGGGUAACGGCUCACCAAGGCGACGAUACAUAGGGGGACUGAGAGGUUAACCCCCCACACUGGUACUGAGACACGGACCAGACUCCUACGGGAGGCAGCAGUGAGGAAUAUUGGUCAAUGGACGCAAGUCUGAACCAGCCAUGCCGCGUGCAGGAUGACGGCUCUAUGAGUUGUAAACUGCUUUUGUACUAGGGUAAACUCACCUACGUGUAGGUGACUGAAAGUAUAGUACGAAUAAGGAUCGGCUAACUCCGUG
RNAcentral lists this ribosomal RNA (473 nucleotides) under uncultured bacterium. Its description in RNAcentral is "bacterial SSU rRNA". It matches the Rfam family "Bacterial small subunit ribosomal RNA", at positions 43 to 507 of the family's 1533-position model. The record is from RNAcentral.